UUAACAAUGCCUUCUCAAGGAUAUUUGGAAAAGAAAAAAAACAAUACUUACAAGGGCUUCACGGUGGCAGAUGGGUUAGAGCGUCUGCCUCACAAUACGAAGGUCCUGCAGUCCUGGGUUCAAAUCCAGGCUCGGGAUCUUUCCGUGUGGAGUUUGCAUGUUCUCCCCGUAAAUGCGUGGGUUCCCUCCGGGUACUCCGGCUUCCUCCCACUUCCAAAGACAUGCACCUGGGGAUAGGUUGAUUGGCAACACUAAAUUGGCCCUAGUGUGUGAAUGUGAGUGUGAAUGUUGUCUGUCUAUCUGUGUCGGCCCUGCGAUGAGGUGGCGACUUGUCCAGGGUGUACCCCGCCUUCCGCCCGAUUGUGGCUGAGAUAGGCGCCAGCGCCCCCCCGCGACCCCAAAAGGGAAUAAGCGGUAGAAAAUGGAUGGAUGUACAUACAGGUAGCCUAAAUAGCAUGUUAGCAUCGAUUAGCUGGCAGUCAUGCCGCGACCAAAUAUGUCUGAUUAGCACAUAAGUCAAUAAAAUCAACAACACUCACCUUUGUGAUUUCGUUGACUUUAUCGUUGGGAAUGCAUCUGCUUUGAGUGUCGCAGGAUAUCCAGACAUUCUUGACAUCUCUGUGCCAUCUCUGUUGUAGCAUCGCCGGUAAAAACCAAACGAGGGACUUUCGCAUCUCUUGACACUGGAGCAACUUAAAACCGUUGACUAGAAUUUGUUUGUUUGGCAUUAAAUGUGGAUGGAGGGAAAGGCUGGAUGUAAAUAUAGCUACAAAUGAGGCAUGAUGCUGUAAUAUGUACAUACAGCUAGCCUAAAUAGCAUAUUAGCAUCGAUUAGUAUGCCGAGCUAAUCGACCCCAAAAGGGAAUAAGCGAUAGAAAAUGGAUGGAUGGAAGAACAAUACUUAUGUGAGACAAGAACACACAUCUUUACCUUUUCCGUGUUUUCUAAACGGUAAACAACUGCUACUAAGAGGUGGCUAACAAUACAAGUAAUGGGAAUAUGACCUAUUCCAUAUAUAAAGCACUCUAAAAGCCUUUAGCACGUUUUUUUUCUUUUUUCAUUUUAUUUUUAUUGACAUCCAGCAUCAGACAUUCCUAUCCAUUACAUCAUAUUCACAUACAUAAGGGAUGCCCAUUACGUCGAUCGCGAGCUACCGGUCGAUCGUUGAGGGUGUGCCAGUCGAUCGCAAACCAAGCAUUAAAGAAAUAAACAAACCUAAAAAGUUGUGAUCAGCAAUCUUUACUACAACGUCACUUUGGUCACUUGAUUGACAUUCACGGCACCCGAGAGUCUUCUGAGAUGACGCUGGCUGCUGCCAAAUCAUUAAUAAGAAAACAUGACCGAGAGGAGGGCGAGAAACACUUUAUUUCAACACUCGCGCCGUACCUGCCGUCAAAACCUUAAAGACAGACUGCACAGUUGCUGUCUUCACAAUAAAAGCCCUGCUUCAUCCUGCCUGCGCUAACAAAAUAAGAGUCUCCGAAAGCUAGCGUGCACAAGUUAGUAAGUUACGGAGUUGGCCGUCAAUGUAUUUCUUGCAAAAUGUAUAAAAACGAGUAUGGAAACUGGAAAAAUAAGACACCAAAAACUAACCACUUUCAUGUGGUAUUGGACAGAGGAGGACUUUUUUCUCCUCCAUUCGAAAAUGUGGACGUUAUCAUCACUACUGUCUGAUUCCAAUCAAUGCAAGUCAUCAGAAUCAGAAUGAGAAUCAGCACCUCCAAGUCCGAGUCCAUGGUUCUCGCCCGGAAAAGGGUGGAAUGCCAUCUCCGGGUUGGGGAGGAGACCCUGCCCCAAGUGGAGGAGUUCAAGUACCUAGGAGUCUUGUUCUCGAGUGAGGGAAGAGUGGAUCGUGAGAUCGACAGGCGGAUCGGUGCGGCGUCUUCAGUAAUGCGGACGUUACACCGAUCCAUUGUGGUGAAGAAGGAGCUGAGCCGGAAGGCAAAGCUCUCAAUUUACCGGUUGAUCUACGUUCCCAUCCUCACCUAUGGUCAUGAGCUUUGGGUCAUGACCGAAAGGAUAAGAUCACGGGUACAAGCGGCCCAAAUGAGUUUCCAGGUCUCUCCCUUAGAGAUAGGGUGAGAAGCUCUGCCAUCCGGGAGGAACUCAAAGUAAAGCCGCUGCUCCUUCACAUCGAGAGGAGCCAGAUGAGGUGGUUCGGGCAUCUGGUCAGGAUGCCACCCGAACGCCUCCCUAGGGAGGUGUUUAGGCCACGGGGAAGACCCAGGACACGUUUGGAAGACUAUGUGUCCCGGCUGGCCUGGGAACGCCUCGGGAUCCCCCGGGAAGAGCUAGAUGAAGUGGCUGGGGAAAGGGAAGUCUGGGUUUCCCUGCUUAGGUUGUUGCCCCCGCGACCCGACCUCGGAUAAGCGGAAGAAGAUGGAUGGAUGGAUGGAUGGAUGGAUGGAUGGUGUUAUCAUUAAACAUGGCGGAAGCGGGUAUCGAACCUGGAACCCUCAAGUUGCUGGCACGGCCACUCUAUCAACCGAGCUAUACCACCCCAUUAUUAAUAAUAAAUUAUUAACAAUAAUAAUCAGAAAUAAUAUAAAUAAUUUGAAUAAAUGGGUUAAAUGG
Nerophis ophidion (straightnose pipefish) is the source of this 2574-nucleotide long non-coding RNA. RefSeq lists it as uncharacterized. The record is from RefSeq and is a predicted model, not a curated record. The transcript has 2 exons. NCBI's taxonomy places the organism in Eukaryota, Metazoa, Chordata, Actinopteri, Syngnathiformes, Syngnathidae.